This 30-nucleotide ribosomal RNA is filed under the name Panax ginseng (ginseng). RNAcentral describes it as "partial 18S ribosomal RNA". The record is from RNAcentral. Lineage: Eukaryota; Viridiplantae; Streptophyta; Magnoliopsida; Apiales; Araliaceae.
GACCUGCGGAGGGAUCAUUACCGAGUUUAC